GUAGGUGGCAAGCGUUGUCCGGAAUUAUUGGGCGUAAAGCGCGCGCAGGCGGUUCUUUAAGUCUGAUGUGAAAGCCCACGGCCCAACCGUGGAGGGUCAUUGGAAACUGGAGAACUUGAGUACAGAAGAGGAAAGCGGAAUUCCACGUGUAGCGGUGAAAUGCGUAGAGAUGUGGAGGAACACCAGUGGCGAAGGCGGCUUUCUGGUCUGUAACUGACGCUGAGGCGCGAAAGCGUGGGGAGCAAACAGGGAUUAGAUACCCUGGUAGUCCACGCCGUAAACGAUGAGUGCUAAGUGUUAGGGGGUUUCCGCCCCCUUAGUGCUGCAGCUAACGCACUAAGCAUCCGCCUGGGGAGUACGGCCGCAAGGCUG
Molecule: ribosomal RNA, 372 nt
Filed under: uncultured organism
Description: partial 16S ribosomal RNA
Rfam family: Bacterial small subunit ribosomal RNA
Source: RNAcentral